UGAGACAGGAGGAUCAUUGAGAGUUCAAGACCAGCUUGGGCUACAAUGUGAGCUCAAGGCCAGCCUGAACUGCAUAGCGAGACCCUGUCUCAAAAAGACAAAAAAAAAAAAAAGAGAGACAGGGUCUCGCUAUGCAGUUCAGGCUGGUCUUGAACUCACUUUGUAGCCCAGACUGGCCUCGAACUUGCAAUGAUCCUCCUGCCUCAGCCUCCCUAGUGCUGGGAUUACAGGUGUGCACCACCACACCCGGC
This 251-nucleotide non-coding RNA is filed under the name Chinchilla lanigera (long-tailed chinchilla). Lineage: Eukaryota; Metazoa; Chordata; Mammalia; Rodentia; Chinchillidae. The record is from RNAcentral.